AUUGAACGCUGGCGGCAGGCCUAACGCAUGCAAGUCGAGCGGAUGAAGGGAGCUUGCUCCUGGAUUCAGCGGCGGACGGGCGAGUAAUGCCUAGGAAUCUGCCUGGUAGUGGGGGAUAACGUCCGGAAACGGGCGCUAAUACCGCAUACGUCCUGAGGGAGAAAGUGGGGGAUCUUCGGACCUCACGCUAUCAGAUGAGCCUAGGUCGGAUUAGCUAGUUGGUGGGGUAAAGGCCUACCAAGGCGACGAUCCGUAACUGGUCUGAGAGGAUGAUCAGUCACAUUGGAGGUGAGACACGGUCCAGACUCCUACGGGAGGCAGCAGUGGGGAAUAUUGGACAAUGGGCGGAAGCCUGGUCCAGCCAUGCCGCGUGUGUGAAGAAGGUCUUCGGAUUGGAAAGCACUUUAAGUUGGGAGGAAGGGCAGUAAGUUAAUACCUUGCUGUUUUGACGUUACCAACAGAAUAAGCACCGGCUAACUACGUG
This 484-nucleotide ribosomal RNA is filed under the name uncultured bacterium. Its description in RNAcentral is "partial 16S ribosomal RNA". It matches the Rfam family "Bacterial small subunit ribosomal RNA", at positions 30 to 507 of the family's 1533-position model. The record is from RNAcentral.